This 337-nucleotide unclassified non-coding RNA is filed under the name soil metagenome. RNAcentral describes it as "partial contains 5.8S ribosomal RNA, internal transcribed spacer 2, and large subunit ribosomal RNA". The stretch from base 1 to 120 matches the Rfam family "5.8S ribosomal RNA", at positions 35 to 154 of the family's 154-position model. The record is from RNAcentral.
GAUGAAGAACGUAGCGAAAUGCGAUAAGUAGUGUGAAUUGCAGAAUUCAGUGAAUCAUCGAAUCUUUGAACGCACAUUGCGCCCCUUGGUAUUCCAUGGGGCAUGCCUGUUCGAGCGUCAUUUGUACCUUCAAGCUCUGCUUGGUGUUGGGUGUUUGUCUCGCCUCUGCGUGUAGACUCGCCUUAAAACAAUUGGCAGCCGGCGUAUUGAUUUCGGAGCGCAGUACAUCUCGCGCUUUGCACUCAUAACGACGACGUCCAAAAGUACAUUUUUACACUCUUGACCUCGGAUCAGGUAGGGAUAACCGCUGAACUUAAGCAUAUCAAUAAGCGGAGGA